UUCUUCGGGGCAGGGUGCAAUUCCCAACCGGCGGUAAAGUCCGCGAACUGAUCAUUCGGAGGAUAUCUGGUCAGAAAUCUAUGAACAAAGAUAAGUGAUAGAAAUUUAUGAACAGAUAUGGUAUAAGCAAUGGUCAGCCGAUCUGGUGAGAUUCCGGAACCGACAGUAAAGUCUGGAUGAGAGAAGGA
This 188-nucleotide non-coding RNA is filed under the name uncultured Dorea sp. Its description in RNAcentral is "FMN riboswitch (RFN element)". It matches the Rfam family "FMN riboswitch aptamer (RFN element)". From Rfam's summary of the family: The RFN element is a highly conserved domain that is found frequently in the 5'-untranslated regions of prokaryotic mRNAs that encode for flavin mononucleotide (FMN) biosynthesis and transport proteins. Lineage: Bacteria; Bacillati; Bacillota; Clostridia; Lachnospirales; Lachnospiraceae. The record is from RNAcentral.